UGCCAGGCUAUAUUUAAUCAAGGUUACUCAUUUCCUGUUACUUCUUUCUUCUUGGUUUUAUAGCAUAUUCAACAAGAAAUCUCAAAGGUUAGCCCCUUGAUCUCAUCUUUGAAUGACUCUCACAAUUAAAGUACACAGAGUACGCUGAGAAUUUACUGCAAAUGUGAGAAUUGUGCAGGCAGAGCCAAGUUAUUAAAGGACAUUGAAUCAAGGUGGUCUGGAACGGAACCUGCAAUAUCUUCAAGGUAUACCUGCAUACAUAGAAACAUUUUUUUAAGAUUAAUCAUUAAGUAUUAUAUAGACCUGUCUCCCUGAAAGGCUUAUGACAUUUAGCAGUGAAAAGAUACCUAUGAUAAUCUUUACUGUCUGGAAGGAAGACCUUGAUUCCCUUUUAAGUUCUAGGCUAUUUAAAUUCUGACCCUGGAUGUAACAGUCUGCCCUUUCUUAUUGAUUUGAACAAAUAGCAGAACCUAAUAGAUGAGUUAAAAUAUUCUCAUGAAGAAAAUGAAUAUUGAUAAUCCAGUUGGCAUAUUUAGUGGUAAUAUUCUUUAUGCUGUAAUGUUUUUAUUUCUGUUG
Molecule: long non-coding RNA, 576 nt
Organism: Myotis davidii
Lineage: Eukaryota; Metazoa; Chordata; Mammalia; Chiroptera; Vespertilionidae
Exons: 3
Source: RefSeq, a predicted model, not a curated record